This 476-nucleotide ribosomal RNA is filed under the name uncultured bacterium. RNAcentral's name for it is "partial 16S ribosomal RNA". It matches the Rfam family "Bacterial small subunit ribosomal RNA", at positions 28 to 523 of the family's 1533-position model. The record is from RNAcentral.
GACGAACGCUGGCGGCGUGCUUAACACAUGCAAGUCGAACGGUAAGGCCCUUCGGGGUACACGAGUGGCGAACGGGUGAGUAACACGUGGGUGAUCUGCCCUGCACUUCGGGAUAAGCCUGGGAAACUGGGUCUAAUACCGGAUAGGACCACUGCCUGCAUGGGUGGCGGUGGAAAGCUUUUGCGGUGUGGGAUGGGCCCGCGGCCUAUCAGCUUGUUGGUGGUGAUGGCCUACCAAGGCGACGACGGGUAGCCGGCCUGAGAGGGUGACCGGCCACACUGGGACGGAGAUACGGCCCAGACUCCUACGGGAGGCAGCAGUGGGGAAUAUUGCACAAUGGGCGCAAGCCUGAUGCAGCGACGCCGCGUGAGGGAUGACGGCCUUCGGGUUGUAAACCUCUUUCAGCACCGACGAAGCGCAAGUGACGGUAGGUGCAGAAGAAGGACCGGCCAACUACGUGCCAGCCGCCGCCGUAA